UGUAAUGUGAAUUGCAGAUCUACAGUGAAUCAUCGAAUCUUUGAACGCACCUUGCGCUCCUCGGUGUUCCGAGGAGCAUGCCUGUUUGAGUGUCAGUA
Molecule: ribosomal RNA, 98 nt
Filed under: Rhizopogon roseolus
Lineage: Eukaryota; Fungi; Basidiomycota; Agaricomycetes; Boletales; Rhizopogonaceae
Description: partial 5.8S ribosomal RNA
Rfam family: 5.8S ribosomal RNA
About the family: 5.8S ribosomal RNA (5.8S rRNA) is a component of the large subunit of the eukaryotic ribosome. It is transcribed by RNA polymerase I as part of the 45S precursor that also contains 18S and 28S rRNA.
Source: RNAcentral